This 1309-nucleotide ribosomal RNA is filed under the name Flavobacterium hauense. Its description in RNAcentral is "bacterial SSU rRNA". It matches the Rfam family "Bacterial small subunit ribosomal RNA", at positions 99 to 1409 of the family's 1533-position model. Lineage: Bacteria; Pseudomonadati; Bacteroidota; Flavobacteriia; Flavobacteriales; Flavobacteriaceae. The record is from RNAcentral.
CGCACGGGUGCGUAACGCGUAUGCAAUCUGCCUUGUACAAAGGGAUAGCCCAGAGAAAUUUGGAUUAAUACCUUAUAGUAUACUGAUGUGGCAUCACAUUAAUAUUAAAGAUUUAUCGGUACAAGAUGAGCAUGCGUCCCAUUAGCUAGUUGGUAUGGUAACGGCAUACCAAGGCAAUGAUGGGUAGGGGUCCUGAGAGGGAGAUCCCCCACACUGGUACUGAGACACGGACCAGACUCCUACGGGAGGCAGCAGUGAGGAAUAUUGGACAAUGGGCGCAAGCCUGAUCCAGCCAUGCCGCGUGCAGGAUGACGGUCCUAUGGAUUGUAAACUGCUUUUAUACGGGAAGAAAACCUGGCUCGUGAGCCAGAUUGACGGUACCGUAGGAAUAAGGAUCGGCUAACUCCGUGCCAGCAGCCGCGGUAAUACGGAGGAUCCAAGCGUUAUCCGGAAUCAUUGGGUUUAAAGGGUCCGUAGGCGGCUUUAUAAGUCAGUGGUGAAAUCCGGCAGCUCAACUGUCGAACUGCCAUUGAUACUGUAGAGCUUGAAUUAUUGUGAAGUAACUAGAAUAUGUAGUGUAGCGGUGAAAUGCUUAGAGAUUACAUGGAAUACCAAUUGCGAAGGCAGGUUACUAACAAUCGAUUGACGCUGAUGGACGAAAGCGUGGGUAGCGAACAGGAUUAGAUACCCUGGUAGUCCACGCCGUAAACGAUGGAUACUAGCUGUUUGGCAGCAAUGCUGAGUGGCUAAGCGAAAGUGAUAAGUAUCCCACCUGGGGAGUACGAACGCAAGUUUGAAACUCAAAGGAAUUGACGGGGGCCCGCACAAGCGGUGGAGCAUGUGGUUUAAUUCGAUGAUACGCGAGGAACCUUACCAGGGCUUAAAUGUAGUGGGACAGGCUUGGAAAACAGGUCCUUCUUCGGACUCAUUACAAGGUGCUGCAUGGUUGUCGUCAGCUCGUGCCGUGAGGUGUCAGGUUAAGUCCUAAUAACGAGCGCAACCCCUGUUGUUAGUUGCCAGCGAGUCAUGUCGGGAACUCUAACAAGACUGCGCGGUGCAAACCGUGAGGAAGGUGGGGAUGACGUCAAAUCAUCACGGCCCUUACGUCCUGGGCUACACACGUGCUACAAUGGCCGGUACAGAGAGCAGCCACUGGGCGACCAGGAGCGAAUCUAUAAAACCGGUCACAGUUCGGAUUGGAGUCUGCAACCCGACUCCAUGAAGCUGGAAUCGCUAGUAAUCGGAUAUCAGCCAUGAUCCGGUGAAUACGUUCCCGGGCCUUGUACACACCGCCCGUCAAGCCAUGGAA